Molecule: unclassified non-coding RNA, 327 nt
Filed under: soil metagenome
Description: partial contains 5.8S ribosomal RNA, internal transcribed spacer 2, and large subunit ribosomal RNA
Rfam family: 5.8S ribosomal RNA (bases 1-120)
Source: RNAcentral
GAUGAAGAACGCAGCGAAAUGCGAUAAGUAAUGUGAAUUGCAGAAUUCAGUGAAUCAUCGAAUCUUUGAACGCACAUUGCGCCCCUUGGUAUUCCGAGGGGCAUGCCUGUUCGAGCGUCAUAUUAACCACUCCCGCUUGCGGGGUCUUGGGCUUCGCCUCCGGGCGGGCCUUAAAAUCAGUGGCGGUGCCGUCGGGCUCUACGCGUAGUAAAUUUUCUCGCGAUAGGGUCCCGGUGGAUGCUUGCCAACAACCCCCAACUUCUUAAGGUUGACCUCGGAUCAGGUAGGGAUACCCGCUGAACUUAAGCAUAAUCAAUAAGCGGAGGA